RNAcentral lists this ribosomal RNA (301 nucleotides) under uncultured bacterium. Its description in RNAcentral is "partial 16S ribosomal RNA". It matches the Rfam family "Bacterial small subunit ribosomal RNA", at positions 509 to 807 of the family's 1533-position model. The record is from RNAcentral.
CAGUAGCCACGGUAAUACAGAGGUCCCGAGCGUUGUUCGGAUUCACUGGGCGUAAAGGGUGUGUAAGAGGUUGGAUAAGUCAGGUGUGAAAUCCCGCAGCUCAACUGCGGAACUGCAUUCGAUACUGUUCAACUAGAGGAUCGGAGGGGGAAGCGGAAUUCUUGGUGUAGCGGUGAAAUGCGUAGAUAUCAAGAGGAACACCGGUGGCGAAGGCGGCUUCCUGGAAGAUACCUGACUCUGAAACACGAAAGCCAGGGGAGCGAAUGGGAUUAGAUACCCCUGUAGUCCCUGUCUCUUAUAC